RNAcentral lists this ribosomal RNA (497 nucleotides) under uncultured bacterium. RNAcentral describes it as "partial 16S ribosomal RNA". It matches the Rfam family "Bacterial small subunit ribosomal RNA", at positions 28 to 507 of the family's 1533-position model. The record is from RNAcentral.
GAUGAACGCUGGCGGCGUGCCUAACACAUGCAAGUCGAGCGACCGGACAAUAAGCUCUUUCCUCUGCGGUUAGCGGCGGGCGGGCGAGUAACGCGUACAUCACCUUCCUCUAAUUCUGGGAUAACUACGUAAGACCGGAUCUGCUACUGGCUAAUAUAACCUACCGCCGGGUUCAAUAGUGAUAGGCACUUUUCGCGACGCAGAGAGACGGAGCCGGGCCGCAUUGGCUAGUUGGUAAGGUAACGGCUUACCAACGCUACGAUGCGUAGCCGACCUGAGAGGGUGAUCGGCCACACUGGAACUGAGACACGGUCCAGACUCCUACGGGAGGCAGCAGUAGGGAAUGUUUCGCAAUGGGCGAAAGCAUGACGCAGCAAUGCCGCGUGAGUGAUGAAGGCCUUCGGAUCGUAAAACGCUUUUGUUAGGGAAGAACAAAAGUAUAAGAAACUAUGCAUGUUCUGACGGUACCCAAACAGAAAGCCACGGCUAACUUCGUG